This 253-nucleotide ribosomal RNA is filed under the name uncultured bacterium. RNAcentral describes it as "partial 16S ribosomal RNA". It matches the Rfam family "Bacterial small subunit ribosomal RNA", at positions 524 to 776 of the family's 1533-position model. The record is from RNAcentral.
UACGUAGGGUGCAAGCGUUGUCCGGAAUUAUUGGGCGUAAAGAGCUCGUAGGCGGUCUGUCGCGUCGGCUGUGAAAACUCGGGGUUCAACUCCGAGCUUGCAGUCGAUACGGGCAGGCUAGAGUUCGGCAGGGGAGACUGGAAUUCCUGGUGUAGCGGUGAAAUGCGCAGAUAUCAGGAGGAACACCGGUGGCGAAGGCGGGUCUCUGGGCCGAUACUGACGCUGAGGAGCGAAAGCGUGGGGAGCGAACAGG